CCUACGGGUGGCAGCAGUCGAGAAUCAUUCACAAUGGGGGAAACCCUGAUGGAGCGACGCCGCGUGGGGGAAUGAAGGUCUUCGGAUUGUAAACCCCUUUCAUGUGGGAGCAAAUUAAAAAGAUAGUACCACAAGAGGAAGAGACGGCUAACUCUGUGCCAGCAGCCGCGGUAAUACAGAGGUCUCAAGCGUUGUUCGGAAUCACUGGGCGUAAAGCGUGCGUAGGCUGUUUCGUAAGUAGUGUGUGAACGGCGCGGGCCCAACCCGCGGACGGCCCAUGAUACUGCGAGACUAGAGUAAUGGAGGGGGAACCGGAAUGCUCGGUGUAGCGGUGAAAUGCGUAGAUAUCGAGAGGAACACUCGUGGCGAAGGCGGGUUCCUGGACAUUAACUGACGCUGAGGCACGAAGGCCAGGGGAGCGAAAGGGAUUAGAUACCCGGGUAGUC
RNAcentral lists this ribosomal RNA (446 nucleotides) under uncultured bacterium. RNAcentral's name for it is "partial 16S ribosomal RNA". It matches the Rfam family "Bacterial small subunit ribosomal RNA", at positions 338 to 795 of the family's 1533-position model. The record is from RNAcentral.